GGAGGCCUAGCAAAGCGGUCGUACUGCGCUUGUCUUGAAAACAAGUUGUUCGAAAGGACACGGGGGUUCGAAUCCCUCGGCCUCCGCCA
RNAcentral lists this transfer RNA (89 nucleotides) under Christensenellaceae bacterium. RNAcentral's name for it is "tRNA-Ser". It matches the Rfam family "tRNA". Rfam says of the family: Transfer RNA (tRNA) molecules are approximately 80 nucleotides in length. Their secondary structure includes four short double-helical elements and three loops (D, anti-codon, and T loops). Lineage: Bacteria; Bacillati; Bacillota; Clostridia; Christensenellales; Christensenellaceae. The record is from RNAcentral.